RNAcentral lists this ribosomal RNA (995 nucleotides) under uncultured bacterium. RNAcentral describes it as "bacterial SSU rRNA". It matches the Rfam family "Bacterial small subunit ribosomal RNA", at positions 356 to 1376 of the family's 1533-position model. The record is from RNAcentral.
GGGGAAUAUUGCACAAUGGGGGAAACCCUGAUGCAGCGACGCCGCGUGGAGGAAGAAGGUCUUCGGAUUGUAAACUCCUGUUGUUGAGGAAGAUAAUGACGGUACUCAACAAGGAAGUGACGGCUAACUACGUGCCAGCAGCCGCGGUAAAACGUAGGUCACAAGCGUUGUCCGGAAUUACUGGGUGUAAAGGGAGCGCAGGCGGGAGAACAAGUUGGAAGUGAAAUCCAUGGGCUCAACCCAUGAACUGCUUUCAAAACUGUUUUUCUUGAGUAGUGCAGAGGUAGGCGGAAUUCCCGGUGUAGCGGUGGAAUGCGUAGAUAUCGGGAGGAACACCAGUGGCGAAGGCGGCCUACUGGGCACCAACUGACGCUGAGGCUCGAAAGUGUGGGUAGCAAACAGGAUUAGAUACCCUGGUAGUCCACACCGUAAACGAUGAUUACUAGGUGUUGGAGGAUUGACCCCUUCAGUGCCGCAGUUAACACAAUAAGUAAUCCACCUGGGGAGUACGACCGCAAGGUUGAAACUCAAAGGAAUUGACGGGGGCCCGCACAAGCAGUGGAGUAUGUGGUUUAAUUCGACGCAACGCGAAGAACCUUACCAAGUCUUGACAUCCCUUGACGAUGCUGGAAACAGCAUUUCUCUUCGGAGCAAGGAGACAGGUGGUGCAUGGUUGUCGUCAGCUCGUGUCGUGAGAUGUUGGGUUAAGUCCCGCAACGAGCGCAACCCUUAUGGUCAGUUACUACGCAAGAGGACUCUGGCCAGACUGCCGUUGACAAAACGGAGGAAGGUGGGGAUGACGUCAAAUCAUCAUGCCCUUUAUGACUUGGGCUACACACGUACUACAAUGGCGUUAAACAAAGAGAAGCAAGACCGCGAGGUGGAGCAAAACUCAAAAACAACGUCUCAGUUCAGAUUGCAGGCUGCAACUCGCCUGCAUGAAGUCGGAAUUGCUAGUAAUCGCGGAUCAGCAUGCCGCGGUGAAUACGUUCCCG